This 387-nucleotide ribosomal RNA is filed under the name uncultured bacterium glc21. Its description in RNAcentral is "bacterial SSU rRNA". It matches the Rfam family "Bacterial small subunit ribosomal RNA", at positions 1131 to 1515 of the family's 1533-position model. The record is from RNAcentral.
CCGGGAAGUGAUAGGAGACUGCCGGGGUCAACUCGGAGGAAGGUGGGGAUGAGGUCAAGUCAUCAUGCCCCUUAUGUCCAGGGCUUGAAACAUGCUACAAUGGCUGGUACAAAGGGCUGCAAUACCGCAAGGUGGAGCGAAUCCCAUAAAGCCAGUCUCAGUUCGGAUUGGGGUCCGCAACUCGACCCCAUGAAGUCGGAGUCGCUAGUAAUCGCAGAUCAGCAAUGCUGCGGUGAAUACGUUCCCGGGCCUUGUACACACCGCCCGUCAAGUCAUGAAAGUCGGUAACACCCGAAGCCGGUGGCCCAACCCUUGUGGAGGGAGCCGUCGAAGGUGGGACCGGUAAUUAGGACUAAGUCGUAACAAGGUAGCCGUACCGGAAGGUGC